AGUGAACGCUGGCGGUAGGCCUAACACAUGCAAGUCGCACGGCAGCACAGUAAGAGCUUGCUCUUACGGGUGGCGAGUGGCGGACGGGUGAGGAAUACAUCGGAAUCUACUUUUUCGUGGGGGAUAACGUAGGGAAACUUACGCUAAUACCGCAUACGACCUACGGGUGAAAGCAGGGGAUCUUCGGACCUUGCGCGAUUGAAUGAGCCGAUGUCGGAUUAGCUAGUUGGCGGGGUAAAGGCCCACCAAGGCGACGAUCCGUAGCUGGUCUGAGAGGAUGAUCAGCCACACUGGAACUGAGACACGGUCCAGACUCCUACGGGAGGCAGCAGUGGGGAAUAUUGGACAAUGGGCGCAAGCCUGAUCCAGCCAUACCGCGUGGGUGAAGAAGGCCUUCGGGUUGUAAAGCCCUUUUGUUGGGAAAGAAAAGCAGCGGGUUAAUAUCCCGCUGUUCUGACGGUACCCAAAGAAUAAGCACCGGCUAACUUCGUG
RNAcentral lists this ribosomal RNA (492 nucleotides) under uncultured bacterium. Its description in RNAcentral is "partial 16S ribosomal RNA". It matches the Rfam family "Bacterial small subunit ribosomal RNA", at positions 29 to 507 of the family's 1533-position model. The record is from RNAcentral.